Molecule: ribosomal RNA, 253 nt
Filed under: uncultured bacterium
Lineage: Bacteria
Description: partial 16S ribosomal RNA
Rfam family: Bacterial small subunit ribosomal RNA
Source: RNAcentral
UACAGAGGGUGCGAGCGUUAAUCGGAAUUACUGGGCGUAAAGCGUGCGUAGACGGUUUUGUAAGUCGGAUGUGAAAUCCCCGGGCUCAACCUGGGAAUUGCAUUCGAGACUGCAAGGCUUGGGUGCGGAAGAGGGAAGCGGAAUUUCCGGUGUAGCGGUGAAAUGCGUAGAUAUCGGAAGGAACAUCAGUGGCGAAGGCGAGUCUCUGGACAGCAACUGACGCUGAGGCACGAAGGCCAGGGGAGCAAACGGG